Molecule: ribosomal RNA, 880 nt
Filed under: uncultured organism
Description: bacterial SSU rRNA
Rfam family: Bacterial small subunit ribosomal RNA
Source: RNAcentral
GGAAACUGAAUAGCUAGAGUGCCGUAGGGGUAGAGGGAAUUCCCGGUGUAGCGGUGAAAUGCGUAGAGAUCGGGAAGAACAUCGGUGGCGAAAGCGCUCUACUGGACGGCAACUGACACUCAGGGACGAAAGCUAGGGGAGCGAAUGGGAUUAGAUACCCCAGUAGUCCUAGCUGUAAACGAUGGAUACUAGGUGUAGCUUGUAUCGACCCGAGCUGUGCCGAAGCUAACGCGUUAAGUAUCCCGCCUGGGGAGUACGCACGCAAGUGUGAAACUCAAAGGAAUUGACGGGGGCCCGCACAAGCGGUGGAGUAUGUGGUUUAAUUCGAUGCAACGCGAAGAACCUUACCAGGGCUUGACAUGUCCGGAAUCCCGGUGAAAGCUGGGAGUGCCUUCGGGAGCCGGAACACAGGUGGUGCANUGGCUGUCGUCAGCUUUCGUGUUUCGUGNNANGAAUGNUUGGGGUUAAGUUUCCCGCAAACNGGAGCGCAACCCUCGUCUUUAGUUGCCAGCAUUAAGUUGGGCACUCUAGAGAGACUGCCGGUGACAAACCGGAGGAAGGUGGGGAUGACGUCAAGUCAGCAUGCCCCUUACGCUCUGGGCGACACACGUACUACAAUGGUCGGGACAGAGGGCAGCGAACCUGCGAAGGCAAGCUAAUCCCAGCAAACUCGGCCUCAGUUCAGAUCGCAGGCUGCAACUCGCCUGCGUGAAGGAGGAAUCGCUAGUAAUCGUCGGUCAGAAUACGGCGGUGAAUCCGUUCCCGGGCCUUGUACACACCGCCCGUCACACCAUGGAAGCUGGCCACGCCCGAAGUCGUUACCCUAACAUUUCGGGGAAGGGGACGCCGAAGGCAGGGUUGUGACUGGGGUGAAGUCUAA